RNAcentral lists this transfer RNA (66 nucleotides) under Scolytinae sp. BMNH 1040146. RNAcentral's name for it is "tRNA-Val". The record is from RNAcentral. Lineage: Eukaryota; Metazoa; Arthropoda; Insecta; Coleoptera; Curculionidae.
CAAAUUAAAGCUUUUAAAGCAUUUUAUUUACAUUAAAAAGGAUUAUUUAUAAUAAAUAUAGUUUGA